RNAcentral lists this ribosomal RNA (602 nucleotides) under Fuscoporia ferruginosa. Its description in RNAcentral is "eukaryotic LSU rRNA". It matches the Rfam family "Eukaryotic large subunit ribosomal RNA", at positions 66 to 648 of the family's 3401-position model. Lineage: Eukaryota; Fungi; Basidiomycota; Agaricomycetes; Hymenochaetales; Hymenochaetaceae. The record is from RNAcentral.
UAACAAGGAUUCCCCUAGUAACUGCGAGUGAAGCGGGAAAAGCUCAAAUUUAAAAUCUGGCAGCUUCGUUGCCCGAGUUGUAAUCUGGAGAAGCGUUUUCCGUGCUGGACCGUGUACAAGUCUCUUGGAAUAGAGCGUCAUAGAGGGUGAGAAUCCCGUCCAUGACACGGACUGCCAGUGCUCUGUGAUACGCUCUCGAAGAGUCGAGUUGUUUGGGAAUGCAGCUCAAAAUGGGUGGUAAAUUCCAUCUAAAGCUAAAUAUUGGCGAGAGACCGAUAGCGAACAAGUACCGUGAGGGAAAGAUGAAAAGCACUUUGGAAAGAGAGUUAAACAGUACGUGAAAUUGUUGAAAGGGAAACGCUUGAAGUCAGUCGCGUCUUGCUUGACUCAGCCUUGCCUCGGCUUGGUGUAUUUCAAGUAGGACGGGUCAACAUCGAUUUUGACCGGUGGACAAGGGAGGGAGGAAUGUGGCACUCUUCGGGGUGUGUUAUAGUCUUCUUUCAUAUACAUCGGCUGGGAUCGAGGCCCGCAGCGCGCCCUUGUGGCCGGAGGUUCGCCUCACGUAUCGCGCUUAGGAUGUUGGCAUAAUGGCUUUAAGCGAC